GUACUAUGGCUGUUACUAUACCUUCGUCUUCUGUGAAGUUUGCUGAAAUAAAUCAAAGGAUUAUCUUUUUAUAUACAUUUGACCUAUAUAUAAAGCUUUUUAUACAUUAAUGCACUCAUAUUGCACGUAACCCACAAUGCGUCCAUCUUAACUAUGGAAGUAGAAACCGAGUAUUUAGCCCAUAGGGGUUUCAUACAUCUACAGAAGUAGAACCCGGAUGCAGACACCUAUGACUACUACAUGUAACCAUUGUUUGAGACACUUGGUACUAUACUCUCAACGAGAAAUUUCCGAUCAGCGGAUUGCAUGGGUUACGUGACGUUUUCAUGAUGUGAUUUACAGGCAAAUAAGAUUUAAAGAAGCAAAUAACGAGCAAUAUGUAAGUAUGUUGUUGAGUGAUUAACAUUAUCACGGUAUUGUACAUAGAGAUCAAUACACAUACAUGUAAGUUCAUGAUAUCGUCGAUCAAAAUGUAAAUGAAUAAAAUAAAUACAAAUCAAAGAAUU
Pecten maximus is the source of this 506-nucleotide long non-coding RNA. RefSeq lists it as uncharacterized. Lineage: Eukaryota; Metazoa; Mollusca; Bivalvia; Pectinida; Pectinidae. The record is from RefSeq and is a predicted model, not a curated record. The transcript has 2 exons.